Oenanthe melanoleuca is the source of this 2596-nucleotide long non-coding RNA. RefSeq lists it as uncharacterized. NCBI's taxonomy places the organism in Eukaryota, Metazoa, Chordata, Aves, Passeriformes, Muscicapidae. The record is from RefSeq and is a predicted model, not a curated record. The transcript is spliced from 3 exons.
UUUAUCUGUUAUCAUCAUAUCUGGAAAGAAUUAAUAAUCUUUUAUCUGGGAAAGAAACUGAAUUAUGUUGUAUGGUACCUAACGUGCAAUGAAACAUGCAGAAAACAUGAAAUACAAAAAAAAAGGAACAGUCAAUCAAACUGAGAAGCUGAGGCAUUUUUACUACAGAAAAAUGGCAUCUCUAACAAUAUAUUUGUUUCAUGUUUCCUAUUUUUACUUUCUCCCCCUCACCAUCUGCCUCUGUUCUGCUUUUCUCUUUCAAAAAGCAUCCACCUUAUUUAGCUUCACUCACCUCAUCACAGGAUUCAGGCUGAAUUAACACAAAAUCCCCAAUGCCAAGCCAAAAAAGCACUAUCUCUUCAUAAAAGAUCUUCCAAAAAUAACUCUCCUUUUCCUUACAGUAGCUGUAGAUCUUUAAGAGAAGCAGUCCAUCUUGAUUCAGUGCUUUGCUACACACUCUCCAGGCAAAGGAACUCGAGCUUUUUGGCCCCUGGUAACUCUGGGUUGUACCUGUGCCUUCAGUGUUGCUCUUUUUGCCAGAUCUUGCCCUGUUCUUUUGGUAGCCAGCACUAAAUCCCGCAGGAGUGAGAUCCUUUAGUGUGGAGAAAGAAGGUGAAUUACAGAACAUGCAGUUCUUGAGCAAGAACUACUCCUUCCAUCAUGGAAGGAGCAAUGCCCUGGGGGAUUUGCUGGGCCAGAGUCCCAGUGCUUUGCUUGAGGGACCCUGCAUGAAAAUAAAACCAUUUUGGGGAGACAAUCCUCAGAAGGAAAUAGUGAGAAAUAGAGAAUGCCCAUCUUUGACAUGUGUGCCAUGCAGUGGUCAGGAGAGCUGGCAGUGCCAGAACCUGCACUGUGCUGUGUGCAGAGGAAGCAAAGGACAAUGAGGAGAAGAUGAAAUACAAAAAGUCACUGACCUGUGGCAGCACCAUGAUCUGAGACUGGAGGCAAGUCCCUGCAGGGCCAGAAACGUCAGGGCAAGAGCUCUCAUUUGUGAGUCAAUUCUCUGCAGCAGCCCUAGUGAAUUUGUUACUGCAGUCAGUGCAUGGACUAAGGAAAGCUGCUGGGCCCAGCCAGGGUACAGCCCUGAGGCUCUGGAUGCCCUGGGCAGGAAUGUUCUGUGCAGUGCAGGGAGGAGCUGAGCCGGGUCACACACCCUCCCGGGGCUCUGGCACCUCACUGCCCAUCCUCGUGCCUGCAGGGCCUUGGAGCCAGGAGAGGAGUAAGGGACCCACUGUUACCCUGCCUGUGUCUCUGGGGUCCUGGGAGCUGGUGCCGUGCCACAGGGGCUGACAGAAUCACAGAACAGUUACACUGAAAAACCUCUGACAUCACUGCAUCCAGCCUGGGAGCAAACACUGCUUGUCAUCCAGACCAUGGCACACUGCAAUGUCCAGCUGUUUCUGCAACACCUCCAGGGGUGGUGGCUCCACCUUGGGCAUCCCGUUCUGGUGUUUAAUCACCCUUUUCGUGAAGAAAAUGUUCCUGAUGGGCAACCUCAGCCUCCCCUGGUGCCGCUCCAGGCUGUCUCCUCCAUUCCUGUCACAACCCUGACCCUCACCUGCCAGGGGGAGCGUGGGCACCCCGAAAAUUCCUCUUCCAGGCUUCGAGGUCGGGAUGAGAGGGAGGAAAAAAUAUGGAACGCUUCACGAAUUUGCGUGUCAUCCUUGCGCAGGGGCCAUGCUAAUCUUCUCUGUAUCGUUCCAAUUUUAGUAUAUGUGCUGCCGAAGCGAGCACGAAUUUGUCAGCCUACCCGUCGGUAUUUAUACCCCGAGGUGAAGCGCUCCGUAAGGUCACGGUGACCAAGUGGGACAGCCCGGCCGUGCGGUGGGAGCAGCAGCAGCCCGGCACAGCACCCCGACCGUACCGAGGGGUUCGGCGGCAGGAGAUGGCGGAGACAGGGGGGACAGACCCCAAAUCCGGCCUCAGCCGCGUAUGCAAAUAGCCCUGCAGUAUGCAAAUCUGCGCUAAGCACUCUGGGAGGGCGGUACCGGGGCGCCUCACGGGCCGUUCGGUGUCAAUAACCCCCGGCGGGCUCGGGGUCGCGUUGGGCUGUGCGCAGCUCUGUAUGUGGCACUUUUCUGUGGUGACGCAUCGGUGAAUUGGACCUAAAUUAGUUAAUAUUGCUGCCCUGUGGCGAUAUGCGGCUGGCUGAAGCCGUUUGUCGUUUCACAGAAUCACAGAGUCGUUCGGGUUGGAAGGCCCGUCUGGAGAUCAAAGCCCGUGUCAAGGCAGGGUCACCUGGCGCAGGUGACGCAGGAACGCAUCCAGAGCCGUGGAAAAUGACUGUAAGGUAUUUUUCACGGACAUUUAGAACGCCAGAAACAUUCCUAUGCUUCGUGGAAAACGUAUCUAAAGUAGAAGAGUAACCAGUCAGAGAGUGUUCGUGGAAUUUCCUCUCCUCGUGUCUAUUAUUUAUUGCAGCCAGAGCAGCUAAGGACAUCUUACCACCUUGGCUCCCCUCCUCCAAACCUGUCCUACAAGUCACUUAUUUACAACAACAACAGGAACAAGCCUGCUCUGUUCAUCAGCUCCUCCUCCUCCUCUGGCCAGGUAACCCUGCCUUGCUGGCCCUUGGAAAAAACCACAGAACACAUUC